Molecule: long non-coding RNA, 3082 nt
Organism: Fukomys damarensis (Damara mole-rat)
Lineage: Eukaryota; Metazoa; Chordata; Mammalia; Rodentia; Bathyergidae
Exons: 3
Source: RefSeq, a predicted model, not a curated record
AGCCUCUCCACUACGCAUUCCUGCCACUGGGGACGCUGUGGGGUGGGAGGAAGAGCUGUCCCCGACGCGGUUUCAGACUGACCGUCCCUGGGUGUCAGGCACAGCCGUCCAGCUCAGCGGGGGUUCAUGCCGCACACAGCGCUGCGUUGGCCUGAGCUGCAGGCCCAGCAGGAGGCGGUCUGUCAGGGUCCGUUUGCUUGAGAACUGACAGGCUUUAGAGAAAACUCACCCAAGCAGAAGCAGCAGCCAGGCAUGAUGAACUUGACCCAGUAAGAAAGUCUCGGACGUCAAACCCUGAGUGCUUUCUUUGUUUGUGUGUUUUCGGUCUUUUCCAGACUACAAACUCUGUGGAUGCGGAGACUGGGCUUAUCUUGUGCACCUGCAGCGAGUGUGGAAAAAGAAUGCAGGAAACAUUUGUCGAGUGAAACGGUGCAGACCGGGACCCCGAAGAGCCCCAGGAUAGGGCGAGGCCCGGCUGUGUGUGGCCUUGGUCAGAGUGGAGCAGAAGUCCAGACAGCGAGGGAACGUGACGUGGCUCAGUGACUCGGGGUGUCCGUGUCCCUGUGCAGCCCCAGAAGACACGGGUUAGGCACUGGGCUUGGCAUCUGGAAAGCAAACAGUGGCUCUCACGCAAGAUAAAGAGCGCUCGAAAAUCAGCCUCAGCCAGAGGCAGUGCAGUGCGCGUUUGCAACCCCAGCUGCUUGGAGACUGAGAUGGGAGGAAAGCCGGAGGCCAGCCUGGGCAGCUCAGUGCAAGCCUGUCAUGAACGAAUGAAUGAACACAAAUCUGAAAAGCCUGGAGCUGCACCUCAGCACGAGGCCCUGUGUUGAUCCCCCAGUACCACAAAAGCCCAGGGAAGGGGCCUUCCAUGGGACCCCUCAGCGUUCAGUGUGCGUUCCCUGCAUCUGGAGGACGGGGUGCACUGCGCUGGUGGCCGGAUCACGUCUGGGAAGAAGAGGCAGCGGGAAGCUGGCUCACUGCCCUGGAGGUGGAACAAGGGAGAUUGCGCGGGCCAGGGCCUGCCAGCCUUCCAAGCCCGCGGGGAGGUCUACGGACGAGACAUGGGGCUGGUGCUGCAGAGCUACACAGGAUUAUAUUAGAUUCUGCCCCAAAGGGUCGCCCAAAUGCCUUCAGUGAUCCCAAAAGAAAGAUCUUAGAAGCCACAGGAGGACUUUUGGCCGAGUAGGCUAGGGAACAGCUUCAUCUGCAUCGGGGGUCAGGAGAUGAGCAAUGCCGGAAAGAGAGAGUGUUAUCUUUUAGAAAAAUCGAUGAAAGUGCCAAAUAGAGAGGAAGUCAGCUAUGCCCACCAACAUAGGGAGAGCUGAUGCCACCUCACAGUACCUCUAGCCAGAGAAACCCUCCUCUGGGGUCUGAGUCACUUUCCUCACAACUAAGACACAAUACUUGUCACCCCCCACUUAGAAGAGGGGAGCUUUACUUUGGCUCAGGGCCUCAGAAGUUUCAGUCCGUGGUUAGCCAGCUGCAAUGCAGAAACAGCAUGGUGGAAGGGUCUGGGCAGAGGAGAGCUGCUCACAUCGUGGCAGCAGGAAACAGAACAAAGGGAGAAGCCAGGGAGGGAAAUACACUCUUUCAGAUCAGCAGCCCCCUCUAAGCAGGCCUCACCUCCCAACAGCACACUCAGCUGCAUAACUCACUAGUAGAUGAGCCCACUGCUGAGCACCUCAUCCCUGUGAUGCCAUCACCUUCCCAAAGCCCCACCUCUGAGAACACAAGAAUUUGGGAAACGUUCUCCACCUAAACCACAGCACCCGCCUCUCCCUCACAUACUCCAUCCCCGGAGAGGUCCAAGGUCCAAGGUAGCAAGACGACAGAGGAAGGUGAUCAGAUUACCUCUGAAAUGUCAUCAAACCUGCUCCAAAUUUGAGGGGUGAAAGAGAACAAACGCCGCAUAAUGGAUUUAAAGAUUAACAGAGAGAAAUGCAAAUAGAGUUGCUUCCUUAUCCCACCUUCCAUCGGUUAGGUUAGACUAAGCAGUGAUAACGAAAAGACUGAACUUUCACAAAGGCUGGUUAGAACUCUCCGCACAGAGAAUGUGUGUGCCCAAGACCGGUUUCCUUGUCCGUGACUCAGCCCUGGCCCUCAGACCUGUCUCUUCUUGUUGCAGCCUCAGCCGGCACCUGGACCUGGGGCUCUGGGCUGCUCCUUGGGAAGGAAUUUGCAGGGCUCUGCCACUCUGCCCCUUGGCUAUUUAGUUAAAAAUCCGAAGAGGGCAGGGAAUUUAGCUCAGUGAUUCUGCCGCCUGCCUCACAAGCGCAAAGUCCUGAGUUUGAUCCCCAGUACAAAAAAAAUGAAGAAGAAAUGUUUAUUGAAGAGCAAUUGACACACAGCAAGGGACUGGGGAAUUUAGCUCAGUGGUUCCAUCACCUGCCUUGCAAGUGCAAGGACCCGGGUUCAAUCCCUGGUACCCAAAAAACAAACCAAGACAUGCAGCAAACCCACGCAGAUUUAAAGUGUGCACUUGCACAAGUUUUGUCCUGGGGACACCAACACCAUAUUUGAGGUAAUGAACGUGCCCACCCUCCCGAGCGCCGUCUCAAGUCCUGCCUAAUUCCUGACCCUCCCCAGCCCCAUUUCCAAGCAACCACUGAUCUGCUUUCUGUCUCUAUAGAUUAGUUUGCAUUUUCUAGAGUUUCAUAUAAAUGAAGCCAUACAGUGUACUGUCCUUCUUGGUCUGGCUUCUUUCAUCCCAACUGUCAGCUUUCCGAGGGAGACAGUUCAGCUCAGAACCCAGCCAAGAGUCAUGCUGCUGGCUGUACAGAAAUUGGACACCACACAUCUUGCAGGCUGGAGAACUUUCCUACCAGCGUGCCAACUACUUUCUGGUUAAUGGAUCUUUCUUAAUCCAAAACAAGAAAAUUUGCACUCUUAAUUUUUCGCCAAAAUGUCUAAACUUGGAUGUUAGCCCUCUUUUACUUCCCCCCACCAAAUUCAGUUAAGGAAAAUAAAGAGAGGAAUCCUGAAAAAUACACAGCGAGUGCAUCGCUCCAACUCUGGGGAGUAUGCAAUUUCAGACACUCGUAGCACCGUGAAUUUUUGUUUGUUUGCUUGGGUUUUUUUUUUU